Molecule: ribosomal RNA, 253 nt
Filed under: uncultured bacterium
Lineage: Bacteria
Description: partial 16S ribosomal RNA
Rfam family: Bacterial small subunit ribosomal RNA
Source: RNAcentral
UACAGAGGGGGCAAGCGUUAUUCGGAAUUAUUGGGCGUAAAGGGCGCGUAGGCGGCUUGGCAAGUGGAAGGUGAAAUCCCUCGGCUCAACUGAGGAACUGCCUUCCAGACUGCUUUGCUUGAGUCCGGGAGAGGUGAGUGGAAUUCCCAGUGUAGCGGUGAAAUGCGUAGAUAUUGGGAGGAACACCAGUGGCGAAGGCGGCUCACUGGACCGGAACUGACGCUGAGGCGCGAAAGCAUGGGGAGCGAACAGG